GAUGAACGCUGGCGGCGUGCCUAAUACAUGCAAGUCGAGCGAACAGACGAGGAGCUUGCUUCUCUGACGUUAGCGGCGGACGGGUGAGUAACACGUGGAUAACCUACCUAUAAGACUGGGAUAACUUCGGGAAACCGGAGCUAAUACCGGAUAAUUUAUUGAACCGCAUGGUUCAAUAGUGAAAGACGGUUUUGCUGUCACUUAUAGAUGGAUCCGCGCUGCAUUAGCUAGUUGGUAAGGUAACGGCUUACCAAGGCAACGAUGCGUAGCCGACCUGAGAGGGUGAUCGGCCACACUGGAACUGAGACACGGUCCAGACUCCUACGGGAGGCAGCAGUAGGGAAUCUUCCGCAAUGGGCGAAAGCCUGACGGAGCAACGCCGCGUGAGUGAUGAAGGUCUUCGGAUCGUAAAACUCUGUUAUUAGGGAAGAACAAAUGUGUAAGUAACUAUGCACGUCUUGACGGUACCUAAUCAGAAAGCCACGGCUAACUACGUG
This 497-nucleotide ribosomal RNA is filed under the name uncultured bacterium. RNAcentral describes it as "partial 16S ribosomal RNA". It matches the Rfam family "Bacterial small subunit ribosomal RNA", at positions 28 to 507 of the family's 1533-position model. The record is from RNAcentral.